GACGAACGCUGGCGGCGUGCUUAACACAUGCAAGUGGGGCGACGAACCAGGCUUCGGCCUGGGGGCAAAGCCGCGAACGGGUGAGUAACACGUGGGUAACCUGCCCCGAAGACUGGGACAACCCGGGGAAACCCGGGCUAAUACCGGAUGUGGUCAUCGUUCACAAGGACGAUGAGCAAAGGAAGCUUCGGCCUCCGCUUCGGGAUGGGCCCGCGGCCCAUUAGCUUGUUGGUGAGGUAACGGCUCACCAAGGCUCGAUGGGUAGCUGGUCUGAGAGGACGAUCAGCCACACUGGGACUGAGACACGGCCCAGACUCCUACGGGAGGCAGCAGUGGGGAAUCUUGCGCAAUGCGCGAAAGCGUGACGCAGCAACGCCGC
Molecule: ribosomal RNA, 379 nt
Filed under: uncultured bacterium
Lineage: Bacteria
Description: bacterial SSU rRNA
Rfam family: Bacterial small subunit ribosomal RNA
Source: RNAcentral